AUUGAACGCUGGCGGCAUGCCUUACACAUGCAAGUCGAACGGCAGCACGGGAGCAAUCCUGGUGGCGAGUGGCGAACGGGUGAGUAAUAUAUCGGAACGUGCCCAGUCGUGGGGAUAACGUAGCGAAAGCUACGCUAAUACCGCAUACGAUCUAUGGAUGAAAGCGGGGGAUCGCAAGACCUCGCGCGAUUGGAGCGGCCGAUAUCAGAUUAGGUAGUUGGUGAGGUAAAGGCUCACCAAGCCGACGAUCUGUAGCUGGUCUGAGAGGACGACCAGCCACACUGGGACUGAGACACGGCCCAGACUCCUACGGGAGGCAGCAGUGGGGAAUUUUGGACAAUGGGCGCAAGCCUGAUCCAGCAAUGCCGCGUGCA
Molecule: ribosomal RNA, 374 nt
Filed under: uncultured bacterium
Lineage: Bacteria
Description: bacterial SSU rRNA
Rfam family: Bacterial small subunit ribosomal RNA
Source: RNAcentral